CCGACCUGCUUCUGUUUUGUCCACCGCAGUCGUUCUCAUCUCAUUCGAGUCCACUUCCGCUUCCUGAGUCAGCUUCUGCUUGUUGCAAUCGUCUCCGUUGGUGUUAGCUCCUUCUCCUAUCCUUCUUUCAAUCCUGCUUAUACAUUCGAUUUGAAAUUUACAUACAAUCUCGCCAAGUGGGAGGGGAUUGCAUUAGAUUCAAGAAUAUUAAAGCGUGCAUUAAAUAGACUUGAGAAUUAGAAGGUAAGUUUUACCUCGGAGAUGUUGAUUUCAUGUUGCGGGGGUGAAAUAAUUACUCUAUAUAGAGGAGAACGUACCAUUUAAGUGAAUACUCAAGGAAUCCACUAAACAAUGCUCAAAAUGGCAAGGAGGAAAGAUUUGCAGAUGGAGGAAACAACACUGUCCAUUGGAGAGAUUCUAUGGAUGAUGUAUUGGUAGACGUUUUUUACGAUCAACAUAUGUUGGGCCGUAGAUCUAGUGAGACAUUUACCACACAAGCUAUUGAUUGCAUCGUGACUGCACUGAGGAAUGUAUUUCCAAACACAACUAUUGAUAAAGAACAUAUUCACAACCGCAUCAAAAAUUUAAAAAGACAAUGUUUCAAAUGGUAUGAUGUUUUCAAACAUGGAUUGAGUGAUCUGUAAUCCGACAAUUAAAAUAUUUGAAGUAGAAAAUGAGGUGUGACAGCAAUUAAUAGAGGUUCAACCGGAAGCAGCUGAAUUGAAGAAUAAACGUGUGGGGAAUUACCACAAAAUAUUGAAAAGGUAUGAAAAGGACAGAACAAAUGGGGGUAGUUGUGAGACAACAAUUUCCAGUCAAUAACAAA
This is a non-coding RNA of Carica papaya (papaya), 826 nucleotides long. NCBI's taxonomy places the organism in Eukaryota, Viridiplantae, Streptophyta, Magnoliopsida, Brassicales, Caricaceae. The record is from RefSeq and is a predicted model, not a curated record.